CAAGUCGAGCGGAACGAGUUAUCUGAACCUUCGGGGAACGAUAACGGCGUCGAGCGGCGGACGGGUGAGUAAUGCCUAGGAAAUUGCCCUGGUGUGGGGGAUAACCAUUGGAAACGAUGGCUAAUACCGCAUAAUACCUUCGGGUCAAAGAGGGGGACCUUCGGGCCUCUCGCGUCAGGAUAUGCCUAGGUGGGAUUAGCUAGUUGGUGAGGUAAUGGCUCACCAAGGCGACGAUCCCUAGCUGGUCUGAGAGGAUGAUCAGCCACACUGGAACUGAGACACGGUCCAGACUCCUACGGGAGGCAGCAGUGGGGAAUAUUGCACAAUGGGCGCAAGCCUGAUGCAGCCAUGCCGCGUGUGUGAAGAAGGCCUUCGGGUUGUAAAGCACUUUCAGUCGUGAGGAAGGUAGUGUAGUUAAUAGCUGCAUUAUUUGACGUUAGCGACAGAAGAAGCACCGGCUAACUCCGUGCCAGCAG
Molecule: ribosomal RNA, 476 nt
Filed under: bacterium BSD8-4
Lineage: Bacteria
Description: bacterial SSU rRNA
Rfam family: Bacterial small subunit ribosomal RNA
Source: RNAcentral